UCAUACUGAUUCUGUCUCCUAACACUUU
This 28-nucleotide small RNA is filed under the name Bombyx mori (domestic silkworm). Its description in RNAcentral is "ovarian small RNA-25908". Lineage: Eukaryota; Metazoa; Arthropoda; Insecta; Lepidoptera; Bombycidae. The record is from RNAcentral.